Molecule: ribosomal RNA, 459 nt
Filed under: Tetrastemma sp. GM 1 Gulf of Mexico
Lineage: Eukaryota; Metazoa; Nemertea; Enopla; Monostilifera; Tetrastemmatidae
Also listed under: 2 other names
Description: partial large subunit ribosomal RNA
Rfam family: Bacterial large subunit ribosomal RNA
Source: RNAcentral
AGUUUUUUGGUUUUUAAUAAGAAAUGUUUUCUGCUCGGUGAUUUUAGACAGCCGCGGUAAUUUGACCGUGCAAAGGUAGCAUAAUCAUUUGCCUCAUAAUUGGGGGCUAGAAUGAAUGGGAUUACAAGACGUUUUCUUUAUUAAAUAUAAGAUAUGAAUUUGCUUUUCUAGUGAAGAAGCUAGAGUUUUUUUAUGUGACAAGAAGACCCUUUUGAGCUUUAUAAAUUUUGUAGUUUUUUGUUACAUGUUUAUUUGGUUGGGGCGACCGAGGAAGAGCUAUCUUCCUUUUUUAUUUUGAUCCAGUGUUUCUGAUUGUUAGAUUAAGUUACCAAAGGGAUAACAGCGUAAUUUUUUUUGAGAGUUCUUAUCAAAAAAGAAGAUUGCGACCUCGAUGUUGACUUAUGGUUUCCUUUUGGUGUAGCCGCUAUUAGGGUGGGUCUGUUCGACCUUUAAAAUCUU